This 889-nucleotide ribosomal RNA is filed under the name Russula siennicolor. Its description in RNAcentral is "eukaryotic LSU rRNA". It matches the Rfam family "Eukaryotic large subunit ribosomal RNA", at positions 72 to 939 of the family's 3401-position model. Lineage: Eukaryota; Fungi; Basidiomycota; Agaricomycetes; Russulales; Russulaceae. The record is from RNAcentral.
GGAUUCCCCUAGUAACUGCGAGUGAAGCGGGAAAAGCUCAAAUUUAAAAUCUGGUGGUCUUUGGCCAUCCGAGUUGUAAUUUAGAGAAGCGACUUCCGCGCUGGACCGUGCACAAGUCUCCUGGAAUGGAGCGUCAUAGAGGGUGAGAAUCCCGUCUUUGGCACGGACACACCAGGGCUUUUGUGAUGCGCUCUCGAAGAGUCGAGUUGUUUGGGAAUGCAGCUCAAAAUGGGUGGUGAACUCCAUCUAAAGCUAAAUAUUGGCGAGAGACCGAUAGCGAACAAGUACCGUGAGGGAAAGAUGAAAAGCACUUUGGAAAGAGAGUGAAACAGUACGUGAAAUUGUUGAAAGGGAAACGCUUGAAGUCAGUCGCGUCGACCGAGACUCAGCCUUGCCUUGGCUUGGUGUACUUCUCGGCUGACGGGUCAGCAUCAAUUUUGCCCCUUGGAUAAUGGCGAGGGAAAUGUGACACCUUUACGGUGUGUUAUAGUCUCUCGUCGCAUGCAAGGGUUGGGAUUGAGGAACUCAGCACGCACCUUUGGGUGUCGGGGUUUUGCCCACGAUACGUGCUUAGGAUGUUGGCGUAAUGGCUUUAAACGACCCGUCUUGAAACACGGACCAAGGAGUCUAACAUGCCUGCGAGUGUUCGGGUGGAAAACUCGUGCGCGCAAUGAAAGUGAAAGUUGGGACCUCUGUCGUGGAGGGCACCGACGCCCGGACCAGACCUUCUGUGACGGCUCUGCGGUAAAGCAUGUAUGUUAGGACCCGAAAGAUGGUGAACUAUGCCUGAAUAGGGUGAAGCCAGAGGAAACUCUGGUGGAGGCUCGUAGCGAUUCUGACGUGCAAAUCGAUCGUCAAAUUUGGGUAUAGGGGCGAAAGACUAAUCGAA